RNAcentral lists this ribosomal RNA (301 nucleotides) under uncultured bacterium. Its description in RNAcentral is "partial 16S ribosomal RNA". It matches the Rfam family "Bacterial small subunit ribosomal RNA", at positions 509 to 807 of the family's 1533-position model. The record is from RNAcentral.
CAGUCGCCACGGGAAUACGAAGGGUGCAAGCGUUAAUCGGAAUUACUGGGCGUAAAGCGUGCGUAGGCGGUUUGUUAAGUCUGCUGUGAAAUCCCCGGGCUCAACCUGGGAAUGGCAGUGGAUACUGGCUCGCUAGAGUGUGUCAGAGGAUGGUGGAAUUCCCGGUGUAGCGGUGAAAUGCGUAGAGAUCGGGAGGAACAUCAGUGGCGAAGGCGGUCAUCUGGGACAACACUGAUGCUGAGGCACGAAAGCGUGGGGAGCAAACAGGAUUAGAUACCCCCGUAGUCCCUGUCUCUUAUAC